UGAGGAAGCUUAAUGAGCUCAUUGAGAAUUACCAAAAGCUACAGGGAAACUACAAUGAUCUUACUGCAAAUUAUGUCAACAUGAAAACGGAAAUCGAAACUAUCAACAACAGACAAGACAAGAGGAAAUGAACAAUACAAUUUCUGAACUGAUGAACACAAUAGAAGGAAUCAAAAGCAGGAUUGAUGAAGCAGAAGAUCGGAUUAGCGAGCUAGAGGA
This is a long non-coding RNA of Phyllostomus discolor (pale spear-nosed bat), 219 nucleotides long. RefSeq lists it as uncharacterized. The transcript has 2 exons. NCBI's taxonomy places the organism in Eukaryota, Metazoa, Chordata, Mammalia, Chiroptera, Phyllostomidae. The record is from RefSeq and is a predicted model, not a curated record.